This 558-nucleotide ribosomal RNA is filed under the name Triticum aestivum (bread wheat). RNAcentral describes it as "partial small subunit ribosomal RNA". The record is from RNAcentral. Lineage: Eukaryota; Viridiplantae; Streptophyta; Magnoliopsida; Poales; Poaceae.
AUGUCAGUAAUGGCAGCUGAGGUGGCCCCUUCACGGCGACUAAUGGAGCUCUACCCGUUCCCCUUCUUAUCCCGGCAGGUUGCGAGGCUUCAUGAUCUAUACGUACAUGCAAAACUAGGUGCGGAGCAGCCGCUGCCACUAUCUCCACCUCCACCAUACCUCCUCCAUCCACCUUCCAUCUUGCCACUCCGCCGUCCGCGCCACACGAAUGAUAGCAGUGGCGGCGAUGAGCUCGAGGUUCCUGUCUGCCCUCCGUCCACACCCUCACAAGAACGCAGACCGGGGGCAACACACAGAUAUUUUCUCUGCGCGCGGUGCCAUGGCUGCACUCUCCGUUCAAGCGUCGUGGCCUUUCCCUCGGGAGUGCCACCACAAGGAACAUGCAGUGUUGUUGCUGCCAUCGCUUGGAUUGAUCUGUUGUAUCAGGUAUCUAAUUCCACUACAUGUUCAGGUGCAAGCUGGCACUCCUUCUCCCCUAAUUCUUCAUGUUUUUUUUUUGAUUUAAUACACGUUGAUCUGGUGUAUAAGGCGAAACAAGCUAUCCUCAUUUCCGUGUAA